RNAcentral lists this long non-coding RNA (2453 nucleotides) under Homo sapiens (human). Its description in RNAcentral is "HSALNT0204442". Lineage: Eukaryota; Metazoa; Chordata; Mammalia; Primates; Hominidae. The record is from RNAcentral.
GUUGUAUGCAAUAUUUUUAUAUAGGUUACCAUGUUAAUGUGUUGCAAUUGUAAAGCUUGAACACUUGCAAGUAAGCUCAAAUUGAAUGAACAUAGAAUUCCUUUGUACAGUAUGACAAGCAGCCUCUGAGAAGGUCCCCAGUUAACCUCCCUUCCUAUUUAUUCAUGCCUUGGUUCAGUCUCCUCCCCUUCGGUGUGGGUUGAAACUGGUUACUUACAAUUCAAGUGAUAACAUACUGUCAAUAUAUGCUUACAAAAAGAUUGUGACUUUUGUCUGGAACACACAUCUUCUCUCUGUCUCACUUUCACUCUGUGGGAAGACAGAUACCAUGUUGUGAGCUGCAUUCUGGUGAAGCUUGUGUCAAAAGAUUGAGGGAGGCUUUCAACCAAGAGCAGGUGAGGAAAUGAGGCUCCAGGCCAACCACCCAUGAGGGACUGAAUCAUGCCAACAGCCUGUUGAGUGACCUUGGAAGUGGAUCCUAUCUCAGUUGAACCUUAGAAUGAGACUGCUACCAGGCUGACACUUUGUGAGAAAACGCGAGCCAGAAAGCCCAGCAAAGCCGUGCCCAGAUACCAAACCCACAGGAAGUGCAAUUUUCACCUGACAACUUAUUUAUUCCUCAUAACAAUCUGAUGAGAAAUAAAGAGAAAGAAACUGAGAAAUGGAAAGUUUAGGUAACUUAUACAGAUUGCACAACCAAUGGAGUUUCGCCAUGCUUCCCAGGCUGAUCUUGAACUCUUGGGCUCAAGUGAUCCACUCACCUCAGUCUCCCAAAGUGCUGAGAUUACAGGCAUGAGCCACCGCACCUGGCCACAUUAAUAAUUCUUAACAUCCAUUAUACUUACUUCUUUUCCCUUAAUUUAGUUUUAUUAUUCUCUACAUAGUGUUAGUUUUGGUACUUCUUUUCAGGAACUGUCAUAUCUUUCAUAGAUAAUUUUACUUCACUACUUCUCUAAUUGCUAUAAUAAAUAUUAUUCACAUCCUAGAUUAUCUUACAUUAUCUUUAGUCUUUUUAUCAGCGGUUAGAGAGCUUCGGAUGUUUUUUCUGAGUUCUGUGGUAUUUUUUAUCUUUGUUUUCCCUAACUGACUGCUUUCGAUUUUUGGUAUUUAAAUUAUUUGUUCCAUGAUUUUAUGGUAUUUCUGAAUUUCAUGAUUAUGUUUGAAACUCAAAGAAUUCUGAUCUCAUAUUUUUAUCUUAUUGAUUUCUGCAUUUAUUUUAUAAAUACACUUUUCUUAUGUCUCUCUUUGAGAAAAUUGAAUUGGUGAUUAUAUAAGGUUCCUCUCUUUAUACCCUUAUUCCUCAGUAACUAAAUUACUGAGUUUCAACACUUUCUUUUAAAAAAAAGUUUUGUGAUACAUGUGUCUCCCAAAUUAAGGAGAUGAAAUGAACUCUGACAUAGAUUGCAUGGGACUCUUUUCAUGCUUUUAGGCCUAUAUAAAGAAAGAAGGGUUAAAUGGUGGGUUAUUUUAAUUCUGAGCUAUUAGAUUAGACAUUCUAUAGUCUGUGAGAAGUAAAAUGUGAGGCAUAGCUAAGGGCAAUCCAGGCAGAGAGACUAUUGUAGCUGCCCAAAAUGACAUGCUGCAGAAUCUCCACUCCUUGUAUAGCACACGUACCUCUGUUAAAAAUCUUCCUUUUCAUACUACUUUGGGAGCAAGGAGUAAGCAUAUUUUAUACUAUACAGAGCAUGCCAUUUUGGUGGUAGCAUGGUUAUAAAAAUUAAUAUUUGGUCCCAUAAAUUGAAUUGUAGUAAAAAUUUACACCAUAUUCUGUCAUUUCAAACUGUGCGAUAUUAAUGUUCUCUUGUCCUUUCCUCCCAGCAGGGGUGCCUUUAACUUACAUUUGAGGCAGUGUAUCUUUAUUUUUAAUAGAAGUACAUAUAAGGAAAUAUGUACUUAAUCUUUGAAAGUUUAAUCACAACUAGUCACUUACAUUUAGACUCUGACAUUUACUCAUAAAAUGUUUGCUAAAAAUUUAAAUGCAGAAAUGGGAGUAAUACAUGUUUUAAAAAGCAUCUACUGCAAUCAGGAUUCUUUCCUUGUUGAUAUAACAGUGCCUACCAUCGCUGGCCAUGAGGCAUUGCACAUCCCCUUUUCAGAUAUAAGUUUAUGUAAGUAAUUUGCCGUAGAAACAUUUCUGUUUCCUUCUGCUUUAAAAAUUUUGUUAUAAGUCUCAAAAUCUUGUGUAUUUAGUUCAAUAGAAUGAGCACCAAACUUGAUGUCAGGGUAACAUGGCUGAAUUAUUAGUUCUCUGGAUAUCUAGGCAUUUUACCAGUAACCAAAGAUACAAUAUAUUAAACUUGUGUCUUUACAGAAGAUGAAUUCAGAAAAUUGGGCUUAAGAAUACAUAAAAAUGUGUGUUUUCUUCAGGAGUAAAUAAAAUAAUCUAUAAGAAAGUGUUUUGUUGCUCUUUAUUAAUUUCCUUGACAUACUGCUGAGCUUUUCUUGCAUGCCAG